Vanessa atalanta (red admiral) is the source of this 344-nucleotide long non-coding RNA. RefSeq lists it as uncharacterized. Lineage: Eukaryota; Metazoa; Arthropoda; Insecta; Lepidoptera; Nymphalidae. The record is from RefSeq and is a predicted model, not a curated record. The transcript is spliced from 2 exons.
GUUUAUUGUUACCAUUUUUCAAGCUAUUUAUCCGUACCUAAAAUACUUAAAAACUUGAAAAAAUCCGGUUUUAAUUUGGUUACUCUAUGGACCACUUUUUUUUAAAUGACAAUGAUCAAAAUCAUAGUUUUGUUAGGUAAAGAAUUGCGACUGGCAUUUUUUCCAAUUGGCCUAGGGGCAGCGUUAAGUUUGAAUUCGGCACUGUAAUGGUACAGUACAGUGCAGUACAGUACAGUAAAUACCGUUAGAAAGUGAAAUAUGUAAUUAAAACAUUAAAAAAAACAAUGUUUAUUUAAGUAAUAAUUAUUAUUAUUGGAAUAAAGUACAAUUUCUAUAAUUCGAAA